This 831-nucleotide long non-coding RNA is filed under the name Crocodylus porosus (Australian saltwater crocodile). RNAcentral describes it as "lncRNA (ENSCPRG00005011358.1)". The record is from RNAcentral. Lineage: Eukaryota; Metazoa; Chordata; Crocodylia; Crocodylidae.
GGGGCACUUUCUGUUUGUCAAGAGUUGUAUCGGGAUUUUCAAAUUCCUCAGUGGAAGCUAAUUUAAAAACUUGUCUUGAGAAACGAACAGUGCCAGAAACACAUCUGGUGACAUCAUUAUUGGUGUUGCUAUAGUUUAUGGCCUUUUCCAUGACUGCCACUCUCAUCAGCCUGCAAUUGGCCUCCACAGUUUGUGUUAAAGGUUAUUUCGGUGGUGUUGUGUGGCAACUGACUAAUGAGAAUCCAGCAGCCCUCAACAACCAGAGAUUCAUCUUUGAGCAUGUCAUCAGGCCAGUUUGCAACCUGCUGUUUUCGGGAAGAUUUGAAGUGGGCUGAGCCCAGGGGUUUGCUUUAAAUACAGCCAGAGACUGUAUUUUGGGUGGAGACUGCAGAUUUCUCUCUUGCUUCCUGGCACACACACUUUAUGUAAGGUACUGGUGCAACCAUGCUGAAAAAGAGGUUGAUCUUUUCCACACUGUUGGCUCUGAUUCUGGUCAAUCUGAUAAAUGUGCAAGAGGCAUUUGUUACCCUUCUAUCUACAGGAUCAAGUAUAGAAGCACAGAGCACGGGGCCAGCCACAGAGCCCCGCACAGGGCCAGCCACAGAGCCCCACGUGGAGCCCAGCACAGGGUCAACCACAGAGCCAAGCUCCAAGUCAAGUGUGGAACCAAGCACUGAGCCCAGCCAUGAAGAAAAUGAGGAGCCCAGUGGAGGGCCCUGCAUUGAAGAAAGUGAGGAGACCAGUGGAGAACCCAGCCCAGAUCCAAUUACAGAGUCAACCAGAAACCCAAGUGGAGAACCAAGUACGGAGCCAAACACAGAACUACCCUAA